AGAGUUUGAUCCUGGCUCAGGAUGAACGCUGGCGGCGUGCCUAACACAUGCAAGUCGAGCGGAGUUUUUAGGAAGCUUGCUUUUUAAGAACUUAGCGGCGGACGGGUGAGUAACGCGUGGGUAACCUGCCCUAUACACAGGGAUAACAUUGAGAAAUUGAUGCUAAUACCUGAUAAGCCAACGUAUGGGCAUCUAUAAGUUGGAAAAACUGAGGUGGUAUAGGAGGGGCCCGCGUCUGAUUAGCUAGUUGGUGGGGUAAAGGCCUACCAAGGCGACGAUCAGUAGCCGACCUGAGAGGGUGAUCGGCCACAUUGGAACUGAGACACGGUCCAAACUCCUACGGGAGGCAGCAGUGGGGAAUAUUGCACAAUGGGGGGAACCCUGAUGCAGCAACGCCGCGUGAAGGAAGAAGUAUUUCGGUAUGUAAACUUCUAUCGACAGGGAAGAAAGAAAUGACGGUACCUGAAUAAGAAGCACCGGCUAAAUACGUGCCAGCAGCCGCGGUAAUACGUAUGGUGCAAGCGUUAUCCGGAUUUACUGGGUGUAAAGGGUGAGUAGGCGGUUAUGCAAGUCAUAUGUGAAAUUCUGGGGCUCAACCUCAGAGCUGCAUAAGAAACUGUGUAACUAGAGUACAGGAGAGGUAAGCGGAAUUCCUAGUGUAGCGGUGAAAUGCGUAGAUAUUAGGAAGAACACCGGUGGCGAAGGCGGCUUACUGGACUGAAACUGACGCUGAGUCACGAAAGCGUGGGGAGCGAACAGGAUUAGAUACCCUGGUAGUCC
RNAcentral lists this ribosomal RNA (780 nucleotides) under uncultured bacterium. RNAcentral's name for it is "bacterial SSU rRNA". It matches the Rfam family "Bacterial small subunit ribosomal RNA", at positions 8 to 796 of the family's 1533-position model. The record is from RNAcentral.